Non-coding RNA from Ictidomys tridecemlineatus (thirteen-lined ground squirrel), 72 nucleotides. Lineage: Eukaryota; Metazoa; Chordata; Mammalia; Rodentia; Sciuridae. The record is from Rfam.
AGGGUUGUAGCUCAGUGGGAGAGCGCUUGCCUUGCACUCAUGAGGCCCUGGGUUCCAUCCUCAGCACCACAU